Molecule: ribosomal RNA, 482 nt
Filed under: uncultured eubacterium WJGRT-54
Lineage: Bacteria
Description: bacterial SSU rRNA
Rfam family: Bacterial small subunit ribosomal RNA
Source: RNAcentral
ACACAUGCAGUCGAGCGGUAGAGAGAAGCUUGCUUCUCUUGAGAGCGGCGGACGGGUGAGUAAUGCCUAGGAAUCUGCCUGGUAGUGGGGGAUAACGUUCGGAAACGGACGCUAAUACCGCAUACGUCCUACGGGAGAAAGCAGGGGACCUUCGAGCCUUGCGCUAUCAGAUGAGCCUAGGUCGGAUUAGCUAGUUGGUGGGGUAAUGGCUCACCAAGGCGACGAUCCGUAACUGGUCUGAGAGGAUGAUCAGUCACACUGGAACUGAGACACGGUCCAGACUCCUACGGGAGGCAGCAGUGGGGAAUAUUGGACAAUGGGCGAAAGCCUGAUCCAGCCAUGCCGCGUGUGUGAAGAAGGUCUUCGGAUUGAAAAGCACUUUAAGUUGGGAGGAAGGGCAGUAAAUUAAUACUUUGCUGUUUUGACGUUACCGACAGAAUAAGCACCGGCUAACUCUGUGCCAGCAGCCGCGGUAAUACAGA